Non-coding RNA from Cinara cedri, 221 nucleotides. The record is from the annotation of a GenBank genome assembly. NCBI's taxonomy places the organism in Eukaryota, Metazoa, Arthropoda, Insecta, Hemiptera, Aphididae.
CAGAUUACAAUGUGUCAUCCAAUGAUAACGGUUCUUCUAUCAAAACACGCACUAAUAUUUUCGGUAUUGUCUCCAUUUAUGUGUAUGUACUAAUUACUAGGGUUCGGAAGUUGUAGGAUUUGCAUGUUUUUCUUUAUGCUAGAUCAAGCUACAAAUUCGUUUUAUGCACAUUCGAGGUUAAAAAUGUAUUUUUUUUUUGCAUAUUUUUACUAUUUUCAACA